UUGGAUUUUGUCGUGAAUCCGUGGUCGAUCAAGACGAAACGAAAUCGUAGCUUUGUUGUCUCCGUCGUGCUGAUCGCACUGGUGCAAUCCGUUCGCAAAUCUGACGGACGGAUCUGCGGAGAUCGCGCGUUGAUCGAGGAGAGGUCGGUAGUGGCAAAACGGUAUUUUCGCAAAAGUCGCGAUAUUUUAUGUACCGUUUCGCGAGGGAUCGCACGUGGAGGGGCGUUCAUGCGUUUUAGUCGUACUGUGAGGGACUCGGAUUGAAAUUCCGAU
This 273-nucleotide long non-coding RNA is filed under the name Ananas comosus (pineapple). RNAcentral's name for it is "long non-coding RNA (ACOM_LNC036246)". Lineage: Eukaryota; Viridiplantae; Streptophyta; Magnoliopsida; Poales; Bromeliaceae. The record is from RNAcentral.